UAUAGCGUAUAUAUUGAAAAAAAAGAAAAAAUAAACUUUAUAAAAUUGACUUUACGCUUACUACUACUACUAAUACAUUUUAUAUCGAUUUUGCUAAGUGGAGAAAAGGUCAAAUUUAUAUAGAAGAGAAACAAAAACUGCGUGAAAAAGAAAUUUGUUAAUUUAGAAAAAAAUAUUUACGCUUUCACAGGUUCACGUGGGAUUAGCUUUAUGCUGCAAUGAUGGCAAGGAUUCUUCUAACAUUCACUGAUUACGCAUGUGCUCGCGACCACAUUUAAAGUUGAGCCAAAUGAUGAGGGCGAUUAAAACAAAUAUUGAAAGGAGAGAUCGCAAAUGAUUUCCAUAAUAUGACAAGGAAUUUAAUUAAAUCUUUUAUGUUUCUGCUCGAACCAGAAAUAAAGAAAUCAACGUAAACAUAAACAACAAAUUUGUCGCUAAUAACAAUAAGGAAGCUUUGAAAUAAACGGUCUUCAUUGCUUGCGUUUCAUUACAAAAUAAUACAUGUCAGCCCCUUUAGUAAAUAUUUAUUAAGAGGGAAAAAUAUUGAAAAUGCAAGCGAUUGUUAUUGUAACAUGUUACAAAAUAAAUUGAAUACUUUCAAAUAUAUGUACAUAUGUAUAUAGUGAUGUAAUAAGUAAGUUACCUUAGUCAAGCUUUAUUUACGAAGUUCAGAGACACUAAUGUAAACGCUUUAUAUUAAUUUAAUGAAUUUUAAAAAAUCUGUUUUUUUAUGCUGUUGUUUAUUAUUUUGCUAAUUUCAUAAAUUAAUGGAACACUUAUAGUUUUCUAAAUUAACUAAGUUAAAUACAUUAGAUAGAGGAAAGUUGGAAGAAAAUCUUUUUAAGAUAUACCAAAAUCUUAAUAAUAAAUAAAGAAAUUAAAAAAGAAGAAA
Long non-coding RNA from Glossina fuscipes, 892 nucleotides. RefSeq lists it as uncharacterized. NCBI's taxonomy places the organism in Eukaryota, Metazoa, Arthropoda, Insecta, Diptera, Glossinidae. The record is from RefSeq and is a predicted model, not a curated record. The transcript has 4 exons.